UUUUAAUUUUUUUUUUGUUAUGCAUGUUUUUAUCUUAAUAAUAGUUAUUUUUUCUUACUGAUUUUUCAACUUUGUUUUUGCUCCCUUUCUCCAAAUUUCUUAGAUUUGGUUCUAUCUAAUUACCUUGGACCCAUUGAUUGCAGAAAGAUAUUCAUAGAGGGUUUAGCGAGAGAAAUGACUAUUGCGCAAUUCAUCAAACACUUAGAAAUCGUGGAGAAGACAGUUCAGGUUUGGCAUUUGGAUAGGAGGGAACCACAUGUAUAUUGGUUUAAGGUGGAGUUUCUUCUGCAGUGGCAACACAUGAAGGGUUGGAAACUUCCAAUAGCUGGAAAUCGAAAAUGCAAGAGUAUUUUAAGAUUUACCGCAUCAAACUUUAGGUUCCUAUAUCUAUAAACUAUAGACUGCUUGAUGAUCAAAGAGAGGGAGUGAGGUUUUUACAUGGUUUUCUCAACAACGAUCAUGGAGGCAUACUUGGAGAUAACAUAUUAAUUGUAGAGAGGGAGCAACCAUACCUCGAGAAGGUUUAGAAGGGUGCAAGCGAAACACAGAGCAAUGAACAAUAUCAAUGAUUAUGCAGAAUCCCUCUUUCAGAUGUGCUCAGAAAAUGGUGCGGGGCCAGAAAGAGAUGAGCUUGAUUUUGAGUUUUUGGGGAACAAAACAGGAGAACCUUAUUUGAUUCAGACUAAUGUAUACAAGAAUGAAACUCGUGGGUGUAAGAUGAGGCACAUGCUUUGGUUUGACCCCACAGAGGACUACCACACCUAUUCCAUUCAGCAAGAAUUAGAAUGAGAUCAUGUUAAAGAGGCAUUUGCUUAGUUGAUUCUAACUAAUUAACUGCUAUAUAAUUUUAAUUUUUGGAGUUAUUUGCUGCUGGCUAGGGGACUUAUUAGGGAAUAAUUGAACAUGAACAUGUCAUUUGAACCUUAUGAUCAAAAUUGAAAUAUCUUGAUUAUUUUCUCAAUAGAAGCAUGAUCUGAAAUGUGAUUGUUAUUUUAA
Molecule: long non-coding RNA, 996 nt
Organism: Glycine soja
Lineage: Eukaryota; Viridiplantae; Streptophyta; Magnoliopsida; Fabales; Fabaceae
Exons: 6
Source: RefSeq, a predicted model, not a curated record